Molecule: ribosomal RNA, 429 nt
Filed under: uncultured Erwinia sp.
Lineage: Bacteria; Pseudomonadati; Pseudomonadota; Gammaproteobacteria; Enterobacterales; Erwiniaceae
Description: bacterial SSU rRNA
Rfam family: Bacterial small subunit ribosomal RNA
Source: RNAcentral
UGGGGAAUAUUGCACAAUGGGCGCAAGCCUGAUGCAGCCAUGCCGCGUGUAUGAAGAAGGCCUUCGGGUUGUAAAGUACUUUCAGCGGGGAGGAAGGCGACGCGGUUAAUAACCGCGUCGAUUGACGUUACCCGCAGAAGAAGCACCGGCUAACUCCGUGCCAGCAGCCGCGGUAAUACGGAGGGUGCAAGCGUUAAUCGGAAUUACUGGGCGUAAAGCGCACGCAGGCGGUCUGUCAAGUCAGAUGUGAAAUCCCCGGGCUUAACCUGGGAACUGCAUUUGAAACUGGCAGGCUAGAGUCUUGUAGAGGGGGGUAGAAUUCCAGGUGUAGCGGUGAAAUGCGUAGAGAUCUGGAGGAAUACCGGUGGCGAAGGCGGCCCCCUGGACAAAGACUGACGCUCAGGUGCGAAAGCGUGGGGAGCAAACAGG